This 384-nucleotide ribosomal RNA is filed under the name uncultured bacterium. RNAcentral describes it as "bacterial SSU rRNA". It matches the Rfam family "Bacterial small subunit ribosomal RNA", at positions 30 to 416 of the family's 1533-position model. The record is from RNAcentral.
AUUGAACGCUGGCGGCAUGCCUUACACAUGCAAGUCGAACGGUAACGGGCCUUCGGGUGCCGACGAGUGGCGAACGGGUGAGUAAUGCAUCGGAACGUACCUUUCAGUGGGGGAUAACGUAGCGAAAGUUACGCUAAUACCGCAUAUUCUGUGAGCAGGAAAGCAGGGGAUCGCAAGACCUUGCGCUGAUUGAGCGGCCGAUGUCAGAUUAGCUAGUUGGUGAGGUAAAGGCUCACCAAGGCGACGAUCUGUAGCGGGUCUGAGAGGAUGAUCCGCCACACUGGAACGGAGACACGGUCCAGACUCCUACGGGAGGCAGCAGUGGGGAAUUUUGGACAAUGGGGGCAACCCUGAUCCAGCCAUGCCGCGUGAGUGAAGAAGGCC